This is an RNA transcript of Helianthus annuus (common sunflower), 572 nucleotides long. It is a transcript of the gene named cytochrome c oxidase subunit 6b-3, with no coding region annotated. The record is from RefSeq and is a predicted model, not a curated record. The transcript has 5 exons. NCBI's taxonomy places the organism in Eukaryota, Viridiplantae, Streptophyta, Magnoliopsida, Asterales, Asteraceae.
AUUGUUUGUGUGCGCUUCAAUCAAUCAAAAGCUUUCAUCAUCUUCUUCGUUUCCAUUCUAUUCAGAUCAACAUUCAUGGCUGAGGGAUAAGCACAAGAGAGGAAAUACAGUGCGGUGAUUACAAAUAUCCACCUAGUGUGCCCUGCAGAUCGAGUUGAAGACUGCACCAGCUGACUACCGUUUCCCAACAACAAACCAAAGCAGACACUGUUUCACUCGCUAUGUAGAGUUUCACAGGUGUGUUGCGGCCAAGGGUGAUGAUGCUUCUGAAUGCGAGAAGUUUGCCAAAUUCUAUCGCUCUCUUUGCCCCGGUGAAUGGGUUGACAGGUGGAAUGAGCAGAGAGAGAAUGGGAUAUUUCCAGGUCCUCUGUGAUCUCAUCUGAUCUGGUAAUGGCAUGGGUCCUUGUUUGAAAUAAUUUUUCACAGUUUUUAAGAUUAUUUGGCUAAUAAGAAGCCAUUUUUUUUUUUUAUAAAUUAUGUUUGCUUGCUUUCACAUUUCUUGAUUAUGAGCCUAGUCCCUUGACUACUUUCAACCGUUUUUUAAGUUUGUUUUAAACUUGGUUUAAGUGUGA